GAGUUUGAUCGUGGCUCAGAUUGAACGCUGGCGGCAUGCCUUACACAUGCAAGUCGAACGGCAGCAUGAUCUAGCUUGCUAGAUUGAUGGCGAGUGGCGAACGGGUGAGUAAUACAUCGGAACGUGCCCUGUAGUGGGGAUAACUAGUCGAAAGAUUAGCUAAUACCGCAUACGACCUGAGGGUGAAAGUGGGGGACCGCAAGGCCUCAUGCUAUAGGAGCGGCCGAUGUCUGAUUAGCUAGUUGGUGGGUAAAGGCCCACCAAGGCGACGAUCAGUAGCUGGUCUGAGAGGACGAUCAGCCACACUGGGACUGAGACACGGCCCAGACUCCUACGGGAGGCAGCAGUGGGAAUUUUGGACAAUGGGCGAAAGCCUGAUCCAGCAAUGCCGCGUGUGUGAAGAAGGCCUCGGUUGU
RNAcentral lists this ribosomal RNA (416 nucleotides) under uncultured microorganism. RNAcentral's name for it is "bacterial SSU rRNA". It matches the Rfam family "Bacterial small subunit ribosomal RNA", at positions 9 to 426 of the family's 1533-position model. The record is from RNAcentral.